AAUCAACGCUGGCGGCGUGCCUCAGACAUGCAAGUCGAACGAUUAAAGCUCUCUUCGGAGAGUGCAUAGAGUGGCGCACGGGUGAGUAACACGUAAGUAAUCUACCUUCGAGUGGGGAAUAACGUCCGGAACGGACGCUAAUACCGCAUAAUGCAGCGGCAUCGCAAGAUGACAGUUGUUAAAGGAGCAAUUCGCUUGAAGAGGAGCUUGCGGCAGAUUAGCUUGUUGGUAAGGUAACGGCUUACCAAGGCUACGAUCUGUAACCGGUCUAAGAGGACGGUCGGUCACACUGACACUGAAUAAACGGGUCAGACUCCUACGGGAGGCAGCAGUCGGGAA
This 339-nucleotide ribosomal RNA is filed under the name uncultured bacterium. Its description in RNAcentral is "bacterial SSU rRNA". It matches the Rfam family "Bacterial small subunit ribosomal RNA", at positions 32 to 361 of the family's 1533-position model. The record is from RNAcentral.